This is a long non-coding RNA of Osmerus eperlanus (European smelt), 634 nucleotides long. RefSeq lists it as uncharacterized. The record is from RefSeq and is a predicted model, not a curated record. NCBI's taxonomy places the organism in Eukaryota, Metazoa, Chordata, Actinopteri, Osmeriformes, Osmeridae. The transcript has 7 exons.
CGUCCGAUAGCAGUGCGCAUGACAACAAAACCAGGAACGCUACUUCUUUUCCUCCUCUCUGUCCAUGCUGUUGAAGGGAGAAGACAUGUGCGUCCUCUCUGAUCACGAUGACUUUUCUAACCAUAAUGCAGAGUUCUCCUUUACAAAUGAUUGCAAUGGCUAAAGGUGAUAUCAACCAGGAUUCGUGAUGUGGUUGUAUUAAGGUUCGAUGGACUGAAAAUGAGAAGGUGCAAACGAGAAGGUGCAGAUGUACACAUCUUCUGUACCAAGUCUUCUGAGUCCAGCAGGGAUGCGUGGUGCUGUAUCUAUAUUCUCAGAAACGAGACAGGAGUAGUGAGUGCAGCACGGAGGUCUUCAUCCGAGGUUCUGAUGUGACAUCCGAUCUAUGGUUGGAACUGACUAAGGAAACUUUAACCAUGGACAAUCUAGCCUGAAUUGAAGCAAUCCAGAUGGCAAUCCCCUGGGUCACCGCUAUCGAUGUUACUGGCAACUUGAAGGAACAACCUGGAAGUUACAAUUUGCCUUUUUCUUCCCCAUUUAAUUUGCUGGUCAAAUGUACAGUUUUAUUGUUUCUCACACAACUACUAAAAUAAACUUGUAUGAAUAAAUAAAAGAAUUGCCAAAGCCACAAUUA